UUCUUAUCCAGAGAGGUGGAGGGACAUGGCCCUUUGAAACCUCGGCAACAGGUUCUAUUGUAGAAUACUGUGCUACUUCCAUCAGGUGUAAACUUGACAGAUAAGAA
Paenisporosarcina sp. HGH0030 is the source of this 107-nucleotide regulatory RNA element. It matches the Rfam family "SAM riboswitch aptamer (S box leader)". From Rfam's summary of the family: The SAM riboswitch is found upstream of a number of genes which code for proteins involved in methionine or cysteine biosynthesis in Gram-positive bacteria. The SAM riboswitch acts at the level of transcription termination control. The predicted structure consists of a complex stem-loop region followed by a single stem loop terminator region. The record is from Rfam. NCBI's taxonomy places the organism in Bacteria, Bacillati, Bacillota, Bacilli, Caryophanales, Caryophanaceae.